This is a non-coding RNA of Staphylotrichum tortipilum, 89 nucleotides long. The record is from the annotation of a GenBank genome assembly. Lineage: Eukaryota; Fungi; Ascomycota; Sordariomycetes; Sordariales; Chaetomiaceae.
GGGAUAAUAGUAUAGUGGUCAGUACUUCUCGUUGUGGUCAAAAGUCACAGCGAUCCGAGAGGACCCAGGUUCGAUUCCUGGUUAUCCCA